UAAGCGGAGGAAAAGAAACUAACAAGGAUUCCCCUAGUAACUGCGAGUGAAGCGGGAAAAGCUCAAAUUUAAAAUCUGGCGGUCUUUGGCCGUCCGAGUUGUAAUUUAGAGAAGCGUCUUCCGCGCUGGACCGUGCACAAGUCUCCUGGAAUGGAGCGUCAUAGAGGGUGAGAAUCCCGUCUUUGGCACGGAUGCCUGGUGCUUCUGUGAUGCGCUCUCGAAGAGUCGAGUUGUUUGGGAAUGCAGCUCAAAAUGGGUGGUGAACUCCAUCUAAAGCUAAAUAUUGGCGAGAGACCGAUAGCGAACAAGUACCGUGAGGGAAAGGUGAAAAGCACUUUGGAAAGAGAGUGAAACAGUACGUGAAAUUGUUGAAAGGGAAACGCUUGAAGUCAGUCGCGUCGACCGAGACUCAGCCUUGCCUUGGCUUGGUGUACUUCUCGGCCCGACGGGUCAGCAUCAAUUUUGCCCCUCGGAUAAUGGCAGGGGAAAGGUGGCACCUUUACGGGUGUGUUAUAGUCUCCUGUCGAAUGCGAGGGGUGGGAUUGAGGAACUCAGCGCGCACCUCAGUGUCGGGGCUUCGGCCCACGUCACGCGCUUAGGAUGCUGGCGUAAUGGCUUUAAACGACC
Molecule: ribosomal RNA, 627 nt
Filed under: uncultured Russulaceae
Lineage: Eukaryota; Fungi; Basidiomycota; Agaricomycetes; Russulales; Russulaceae
Description: LSU rRNA
Rfam family: Eukaryotic large subunit ribosomal RNA
Source: RNAcentral